UACGUAGGGUGCGAGCGUUAAUCGGAAUUACUGGGCGUAAAGCGUGCGUAGGCGGUUCGUUGUGUCGGUGGUGAAAGCCCCGGGCUCAACCUGGGAAUGGCCGUUGAAACUGGCGAACUGGAGUGUGGCAGAGGGGGGUGGAAUUCCGCGUGUAGCAGUGAAAUGCGUAGAGAUGCGGAGGAACACCGAUGGCGAAGGCAGCCCCCUGGGCUAACACUGACGCUCAGGCACGAAAGCGUGGGGAGCAAACAGG
Molecule: ribosomal RNA, 253 nt
Filed under: uncultured bacterium
Lineage: Bacteria
Description: partial 16S ribosomal RNA
Rfam family: Bacterial small subunit ribosomal RNA
Source: RNAcentral